AUCUCUGCGUUGUGUUUCACAGAGAUGGUGAAAAGUCGGAUGCAGGUACAGAAACCAAUAUUAAUCUCUAUAUGCAACUUUACUACCAUUUUGUUGGUACAGAUCAAUCCCAGGAUAUUUUGUGUUGGGGAGAUAAACAACAUCCUACCUACGUAGUCGGUGCCACUGUCACAGACGAUGGCAAGGUGCCUGCCUUCUCUUUUACAAUUGGAAUGUUUUGUUCUAUAUGCAAGUACUAUUAAUAAUUGAAGUGUGGAUAGCCGAAAUUAACAUUGUAUGAUACGGUUUGCAGUACCUUCUCCUCUACAUCACAGAUGGGGCUGAUACAACCAACAAAGUAUAUUACUGUGAUAUCUUGGGGGGACUAGAAAGUUUUAAGGGAGGAAACAGUUUGCUCACUUUCACUAAGCUUGUCGAUACCUUCGAGGCCAACUAUAACGCCAU
Molecule: long non-coding RNA, 444 nt
Filed under: Linum usitatissimum (flax)
Lineage: Eukaryota; Viridiplantae; Streptophyta; Magnoliopsida; Malpighiales; Linaceae
Description: long non-coding RNA (LUSI_LNC008110)
Source: RNAcentral